GGGGCUGUAGUUCAGUUGGUUAGAACGCCGGCCUGUCAAGCCGGAGGUCGAGGGUUCGAGUCCCUUCAGUCCCG
RNAcentral lists this transfer RNA (74 nucleotides) under Fidelibacterota bacterium. Its description in RNAcentral is "tRNA-Asp". It matches the Rfam family "tRNA". Rfam says of the family: Transfer RNA (tRNA) molecules are approximately 80 nucleotides in length. The record is from RNAcentral. Lineage: Bacteria; Pseudomonadati; Fidelibacterota.